RNAcentral lists this long non-coding RNA (313 nucleotides) under Homo sapiens (human). Its description in RNAcentral is "HSALNT0032211". The record is from RNAcentral. Lineage: Eukaryota; Metazoa; Chordata; Mammalia; Primates; Hominidae.
CCAGUCAGUCUUUUUCAGGAUUAUUUCUAUGGGCAUUCUGAUGCGUGUAUUAUACCCUAAAGGAACAUAAAGUACUUACUAUAUUAAAAUAGACAUAUCUCAAACCCUGGACAUAGUUUUAAGGCUUUCCAGUUUAGAAUAGUUUUCAAGAAAUGGAAGGUGUUUUCAGUCUGAUGUUAAAAACUUACUCCAUCUCUUAGCAGAAAUCCAUUCAAACAUAAGUGAAAAAACUUGCUGGUAAUAGCAUCUUAAACUUUUAUUUCCUUUAAAUUUUUUGCUGUUCUUGUUGUCUAAAAGUUCUUUUCUAUUCUCC